This is a long non-coding RNA of Balaenoptera musculus (blue whale), 273 nucleotides long. RefSeq lists it as uncharacterized. NCBI's taxonomy places the organism in Eukaryota, Metazoa, Chordata, Mammalia, Artiodactyla, Balaenopteridae. The transcript is spliced from 2 exons. The record is from RefSeq and is a predicted model, not a curated record.
GUUCGCCCAGGCCUUCGCAGCUGGGUGCGCCAGCAACUGCUGGGCCGGGACAGUGAAGCAGAGGAGGGGGAGGUGGGGAAGCUGUUCCUGGCUCCCCAAGACUCAACCAUGGAAGGUACAGAAAGGUGUGUGACAAGAAACUUAUGGCUUUUAAUUCUGGCAGGAAGGACAAGGAAAACCAAGGAUAAAGGUUUGAUCAAGUUUUAUUAUUCUCCCACUGGAGAUGGGGGAGGGGGAAUCAGUCAUAUUUAAUAAACAUCUGUCUCCUCAUCC